GAAUGAAGGAAGCAUGGUAAUGUGCACAGAGAUUGAAUAUUAGGUCAUCAUGUCUGCCCCCACUGAUGCCUUUCGGCUUUGAUUUGGGGGCCUGGAUCCGACCUACAUUC
Molecule: small nucleolar RNA, 110 nt
Organism: Malania oleifera
Lineage: Eukaryota; Viridiplantae; Streptophyta; Magnoliopsida; Santalales; Ximeniaceae
Product: small nucleolar RNA snoR100
Exons: 1
Source: RefSeq, a predicted model, not a curated record